CCGGCCCUGCGGGACACACGCGCGCGUGCACACACACACACACACACACACACACUCACUCCCGCUUACACUCACACGUCCUCGCUCUCUGCACCCCACCCUGCGCUCCGCUCCUCCGCCGGGGGUUGGGGGGGCGGGGGGUGUAGGUGACGUCAGGACUGCAGUCCGGAGGAGAGCGGCUGGAGAGGGCUGCGCGCUCUUAGCCGAGGAAGCUGGAGGCGCACUCGGGCAGCCGCUGCUCCCGCGCUCCUCCCUCUCCUCUGCACCCGCUGUCACGCUGCUCGCCCUCAGCAGAACCUCGCCAGCUACCAGGUGAAUUGAAAGUCGUUUCCCGGGGAGGACGGAGAGGGUGCUGCAGUCCUGGCAUGCACUAAAACUGCAAGUCGGACAGAAACAACGCAGCAGAGGAGCAGAGCGCGCGGCGCUGAGCGCAGCAUCCCGGGGCGAAGGCUGCCACUGCUCAGCUAGCAGCCAAGCGCGGCGGCCAGACCUCCGCCCCGCACUCCGGCCCCGGGCACGCUCGCCGGAGAGAGACUCCUUUCCCUUCUUGCGCAUUUCGCAGCUGCGCUGGUGUGGGGAAUGCGAGCGUGGUGGCUUCAUGUCGCCGCGGAGCAGCAGCCGGUGCUAGAGCAAGCAGAGGCGAGGGGGCGGCAGCCUCGGCCCGAAGUAAGUGCAGCAGAAGUUUGCGUCGGUUCCCCUGCUGC
RNAcentral lists this long non-coding RNA (704 nucleotides) under Marmota monax (woodchuck). Lineage: Eukaryota; Metazoa; Chordata; Mammalia; Rodentia; Sciuridae. The record is from RNAcentral.